UUACUUCACAAUCCAAACCCUAGCCACUCUUUAGAGAGAGACUAGAGAGAAAAAUCAGAAAUCCAUCCUUGGUGGCUAGUACCACACUUCCUUCUCCUGCAGAUCGUAGGACGAUUCGUGCAUAGCGUUCGUGUGGAUACCGUAGAGACGCAGUCCACUUGAAUUGCGUUGGAGAUUCGACCGGAUCGGUUCUAGCAAAUCAAAUCGGUAAAAUUUCUAUCCUCUGAAUUAAUUGAUUUUCGCAUGGAUCCUGUUUUGGGGUUUCGGAAAUUACUUUGAAUUGUUCAAUUUCCG
Molecule: long non-coding RNA, 294 nt
Filed under: Panax ginseng (ginseng)
Lineage: Eukaryota; Viridiplantae; Streptophyta; Magnoliopsida; Apiales; Araliaceae
Description: long non-coding RNA (PGIN_LNC012761)
Source: RNAcentral